GGGCGCUUGGUCUAGGGGUAUGAUUUUCGCUUCGCGUUUCGGACUGUUCCGGACGUGGAUUGUGAAAGGUCGUGGGUUCAAUUCCCACAGUGUCCA
This is a non-coding RNA of Colletotrichum caudatum, 96 nucleotides long. NCBI's taxonomy places the organism in Eukaryota, Fungi, Ascomycota, Sordariomycetes, Glomerellales, Glomerellaceae. The record is from the annotation of a GenBank genome assembly.